Molecule: long non-coding RNA, 1892 nt
Filed under: Carassius auratus (goldfish)
Lineage: Eukaryota; Metazoa; Chordata; Actinopteri; Cypriniformes; Cyprinidae
Description: lncRNA (ENSCARG00000037680.1)
Source: RNAcentral
UGCCUUGAACUGUUAUUAAGCAGUAUUUGUUAACUAUUUCUUUUUUUUUUAUUUCUACAAUACAUUGAAAACCACACAACAGUGACAGAGCCCACCACCACCACCACACCCAGUACCACUACACCUAUAACCACACCUACCACAAUUAUAACCACAUCUAAUACAAAUACCGCCAGCCCUAUAAACACAAACUCACCUACAACUGCAACUACGCUUGCAAUUACUGUUUCUUCAAAAGAUACGACACAAACAACUGAACCUAAAACUGUGGUUACCACAAACUCACCUACUACUGCAACAACGCUUCCAACUACUGUUUCUACAACAGAAACGACACAAAAAACUGAACCUUCAACUGAGAUUACGACAAACUCACCUACUACUGCAACUACACUUCCAACUACUGUUUCUUCAAAAGAAACGACACAAACAACUGAAACUACAACUGAGAUUACGACAAACUCACCUACCACUGCAACUACACUUCCAACUACUGUCUCUUCAACAGAAACGACACAAACAACUGAACCUACGACUGUGGUUACGACAAACUCACCUGCCACUGCAACGACACUUCCAACUACAGUCUCUACAACAGAAACGACACAAACAACUGAACCUACAACUGUGGUUACGACAAACUCACCUACCACUGCAACUACACUUCCAACUACUGUUUCUUCAACAGAAACGACACAAACAACUGAACCUAAAACUGUGGUUACGACAAACUCACCUACUACUGCAACAAUGCUUCAAACUGCUGUCUCUACAAGAGAAGCGACACAAACAACUGAACCUACAACUGUGGUUACGACAAAUUCACCUACUACUGCAACAACGCUUCGAACUACUGUCUCUUCAACAGAAACGACACAAACAACUGAACCUACAACUGAGAUUACGACAAACUCUCCUACUACUGCAACUACACUUCCAACUUCUGUCUCUUCAACAGAAACGACACAGACAACUGAACCUACAUCUGAGAUCACGACAAACUCUCCUACUACUGCAACGACACUUCCAACUACAGUCUCUACAACAGAAACGACACAAACAACUGAACCUACAACUGUGCUUACGACAAACUCACCUACGUCUGCAACAACUCUUCUAACUACAGUCUCUACAACAGAAAUCCAAACAACUGAACCUACAACUGUGGUUACUCCAAACUCACCUACAACUGCAACAACGCUUCCAACUACCAUCUCUUCAACGGAAACGACACAAACACCUGAACAUACCACUGUGGUUACGACAAACUCACUUACUACUGCAACAAUGCUACCAACUACUGUUUCUUCAAAAGAAACGACACAAACAACUGAACCUUCAACUGAGAUUACGACAAACUCUCCUACUACUGCAACUACACUUCCAACUACUGUUUCUUCAAAAGAAACAACACAAACAACUGAACCUACAACUGUGGUUACGACAAACUCACCUACUACAACUACACUUCCAACUACUGUUUCUUCAACAGAAACGACACAGACAACUGAACCUACCACUGUGGUUACGACAAACUCUCCUACUACUGCAACUAUACUUCCAACUACUGUCUCUUCAACAGAAACGACACAAACAACUGAACCUACAACUAAGAUUACAACAAACUCACCUACUACUGCAACAACACUUCCAACUACUGUCUCUUCAACAGAAACGACACAAACAACUGAACCUACAACUGAGAUUACGACAAACUCUCCUACUACUGCAACUAUACUUCCAACUACUGUCUCUUCAACAGAAACGACACAGACAACUGAACCUACAACUAAGAUUACGACAAACUCUCCCACUACUGCAACUACACUUCCAACUACUGUUUCUUCAACAGAAACAACACAGACAACUGAACCUACCACUGAGAUUACGAC